RNAcentral lists this ribosomal RNA (282 nucleotides) under Triticum aestivum (bread wheat). RNAcentral's name for it is "partial small subunit ribosomal RNA". Lineage: Eukaryota; Viridiplantae; Streptophyta; Magnoliopsida; Poales; Poaceae. The record is from RNAcentral.
AUGCCGCCUCCGCUGCGCCACCUGCUGCCGCUGCUCCUCACGGCGGCCGCGGCCUCCACGGCUGCCGCGUUCGUACUGGAGGAGGCCACGGUCGAGUCCAUCCACCGUGCCUUCGCCACCGGCGAGCUCACCUCCCACGGCCUCAUCGAGCUCUACCUGCGCCGCAUCGCGUCGCUCGACCCAGCCCUCCACGCCGUCGUCGAGAUCGCCGCCGCCGCCCGCGCCGACGCCGCCCGCCUCGAGGGGGCCGUGCUCUCGCCGCUCCACGGCAUCCCCUGCUGA